This 1200-nucleotide long non-coding RNA is filed under the name Equus caballus (horse). RNAcentral's name for it is "lncRNA (ENSECAG00000048307.1)". Lineage: Eukaryota; Metazoa; Chordata; Mammalia; Perissodactyla; Equidae. The record is from RNAcentral.
AGAACACAUGGGGAAACUGAGGAUCAAGAAAAAUGAAAGGUCCAUCAAAGAUCAAACUAUAGUGGGUGACAAACCCAGGAUUUCACCCAGGUGCAUGCUCCCCAAGGUGCCCUAAACACAGCCAGAGUCUUGUUUUCUGGGUGCUUAAUAGAUGCCUGUUGAAUUGAGACUGAAUUUCCAAUUUAAAGUCAACUCUUUAAUCAUAGAAUCUCUUAAACCUACAAGAAACUUAAAAGAAUAAAUCAUUUAACCAUAACAGUUAGGAAGGCCAAGACAGAGAGGUCAACGGACUUCUCCAAGACCUCAGAGCAGGGAGGCCAGCCCCCAGGCCUCCCACCUCCCAUCACACCACCCCUCCCGGGUUCAGGGGUGCUCUUCUGCUCCCGCUGCAUGGCACGUCUCCCCUCUCUCUAGCCCGUGACACUGGCGAUCACUCUUCUCUCACCAAAUCUACCCUCCCUGGGCCUUCAAGACGCCGCUGGCCCCUGGUCUUCCUCCUGCUUCACUGUCAGCUCCCUCCAGUCACCUACCUGGGCAGCUCCUUCUCUACCCAUGAGUCUCAAAUGCCCCUUUGAAGUCUUCAAGAUGGGUUUGGUGAGCAUCCAGGCCCAAACCCCACCCCUCCUGGGUUGUCAUUCCAUCCCCGCCAGCAGCCCAUCCCUCUAGCGUGUUAAGUCCACAGAUCCCAUACUCUGAAACCCUCCCCAGAGCCAGCUGCUCACCUCCCACAGCCUCCUCUCUUCCAAAGUCACACCCUUCUACCGGAAGAGGGGAUGGAAACGCAGCAUGAGCCCUCAGUCCUUCUAUGUCCUAUUCAAACCGUCCAGGUCUGUGGAGACACCUUCCAGUCCUGCCUGAUCAGACACAGCUGACUUCACACCUCAAGGGGAGGGGUCACCAAUCCUCCACAACCCUACCUCCAGGGAGCCCUCCAGGAUACCGCCUACCUUCCAGAUAGUGCCUGUGGACAUCCUUCUGUUGGAGGAGAUCUGUUCAGCCAGGAACUGGACUGACAGAGACAGGGUGGUGGAAAGCAAGUGGAGAGGAAGGAGGAGGAAGAGAUGAAGACAGCCCUGGUCUCCUGACCGCCAGCAGAUGGGAAGCCGGGACUGCAUGUUUGUCUGACACAUGCUCUCAACCAUAUCCCGUUUGACAUCAGCUUCUCGCCCUCCCUCAAAUCUCUUUUUCUGGACCCACUCA